ACGCUCGACACCUACGGGGGCAGCAGUGGGGAAUAUUGCACAAUGGGGGAAACCCUGAUGCAGCGACGCCGCGUGAAGGAAGAAGUAUUUCGGUAUGUAAACUUCUAUCAGCAGGGAAGAAGAUGACGGUACCUGACUAAGAAGCCCCGGCUAACUACGUGCCAGCAGCCGCGGUAAUCUGAGCGGGCUGGCAAGGC
This 197-nucleotide ribosomal RNA is filed under the name uncultured bacterium. RNAcentral describes it as "partial 16S ribosomal RNA". It matches the Rfam family "Bacterial small subunit ribosomal RNA", at positions 328 to 539 of the family's 1533-position model. The record is from RNAcentral.